GACGAACGCUGGCGGCGUGCUUAACACAUGCAAGUCGAACGGAAAGGCCCUGCUUUUGUGGGGUGCUCGAGUGGCGAACGGGUGAGUAACACGUGAGUAACCUGCCCUUGACUUUGGGAUAACUUCAGGAAACUGGGGCUAAUACCGGAUAGGAGCUCCUGCUGCAUGGUGGGGGUUGGAAAGUUUCGGCGGUUGGGGAUGGACUCGCGGCUUAUCAGCUUGUUGGUGGGGUAGUGGCUUACCAAGGCUUUGACGGGUAGCCGGCCUGAGAGGGUGACCGGCCACAUGGGGACUAAGAUACGGCCCAGACUCCAACGGGAGGCAGCAGUGGGGAAUAUUGCACAAUGGGCGGAAGCCUGAUGCAGCAACGCCGCGUGCGGGAUGACGGCCUUCGGGUUGUAAACCGCUUUCGCCUGUGACGAAGCGUGAGUGACGGUAAUGGGUAAAGAAGCACCGGCUAACUACGUG
This 468-nucleotide ribosomal RNA is filed under the name uncultured bacterium. RNAcentral describes it as "partial 16S ribosomal RNA". It matches the Rfam family "Bacterial small subunit ribosomal RNA", at positions 28 to 507 of the family's 1533-position model. The record is from RNAcentral.